UGGAUCGAUGAUGACUACUGGUGGCGUAUGAGUCAUUUACAAUGAAUACGUAUCUGGAACUCUGAGGUCCAA
This is a small nucleolar RNA of Carlito syrichta (Philippine tarsier), 72 nucleotides long. The record is from Ensembl. NCBI's taxonomy places the organism in Eukaryota, Metazoa, Chordata, Mammalia, Primates, Tarsiidae.